GCGCACCAGGCGAGAAUACUUUACAAUGUGCGAAAGCACGAUAAGGGAACUCUGAGUGCCUCCUAAGGAGGCUGUUCAGGUGUCUAAAAAGCACCUGGAGUAAGGGCUGGAUAAGACCGGUGCCAGCCGCCGCGGUAACACCGGCAGCCCAGGUGGUAGCCACUUUUAUUGGGUCUAAAGCGUCCGUAGCCGGUUGAGUAAGUUCCUUGGGAAAUUUGGCUGCUCAACAGCCAAGCUUCCAGGGAAUACUGCUCGACUUGGGACUGGGAGAGGUCAGAGGUACUCCAGGGGUAGGGGUGAAAAUCCAUUAAUCCCUGGGGGACCACCGGUAGCGAAGGCGUCUGACCAGACCAGGUCCGACGGUGAGGGACGAAGGCUAGGGUCGCGAA
Molecule: ribosomal RNA, 389 nt
Filed under: uncultured microorganism
Description: bacterial SSU rRNA
Rfam family: Archaeal small subunit ribosomal RNA
Source: RNAcentral